This is a long non-coding RNA of Raphanus sativus (radish), 892 nucleotides long. RefSeq lists it as uncharacterized. The record is from RefSeq and is a predicted model, not a curated record. The transcript is spliced from 3 exons. NCBI's taxonomy places the organism in Eukaryota, Viridiplantae, Streptophyta, Magnoliopsida, Brassicales, Brassicaceae.
AUUCUGCGAUGCGCUAGUGCUUUCUACCCAUGUGCCAAAAUCUCCAUCAUCUCCAGCGGAAACGACGUUGUCUCGUACUCCCCCAACGUCUCCCGUUCCCCCGACGUGCGAUGCAGAACGUCCAUGGCUGUGAUGGGACACAAGAAUCUUUCUGUGAUUCUGGCGGAGACCCGUUGGCCUAGCUCCGGGAUUGAUUCUGGCGAAGUCGACGCUACGUUGUUGUAUAGUGAGAUGUUCUUGAAAGUUUUGUUGGCGUAUUUGAGGAGCGGUGGUGGGACGAAGAUGGUGGUGGUGGAGGGAAAGGAAUAAGAUUGGUGGAGGUUUUGAGUUCUAGGGUGGUGGUGGAGGGGAAAGAAGAAGAUUGGUGGAGGUUUUGGUUGGGUUCUUGGUGGGGGUGGUGAUGCUUUAUUUGUUGGUGUAAACGAGAGAUAAACUCAGAUGAGAUAAUUCGUGUGAGAUUAACUCAGAUGGGAUCAUGUGAGUGAAGAGGAGCAUGACAGAGAGAGGAAAGUAGAGUCCUUUGGUCAAGUUUGAUUGGAGAUUUAGUCAGGUUCGAGUAAAAGGGGGAAUGAGGAUGGAGAACGGUCAUGAGAACGAUUCUUUUCAAGUGGGUGAUGAAGAUUCUUCUUGCCGGAGAAUGACUUUAAAAACGAUAACUUGUUGCAAGUCAUCAAAGCUGUUGAAGCAGCUGAAACCACCACCAUCAAGCAGCAGGUCAAGAAUAGCAAAAACAGAGUACCAUUAAACCAGGGACUGAAGUGAAGCUUUUUUUGCUUGUGUCUAUUUUUUGUAUUUGUAUGUGUCAUGAGAAUGGAAGAAUUAGGAACUGAAGUUAAGCAACUACCAUUAAACCAUUAUAAUUAAAUGUUCUUUAUCAAAGUUGCUUAUCUCA